AGUGAAUAGAUACCCGGGUAGUCCUGGCCCUAAACUAUGUUCAUUGGGUGUUAGAGGUAUCGACCCCUCUAGUGCCGUAGCUAAACGCGUUAAAUGAACCGCCUGGGGAUUACGACCGCAAGGUUAAAACUCAAAAGAAUUGACGGGGGCCCGCACAAGCGGUGGAGCAUGUGGUUUAAUUCGAUGCUACGCGAACAACCUUACCUGGGCUUGACAUGCUAGUAGUAGCGAACCGAAAGGGGAGCGAUCCAUAGCAAUAUGGAAGCUAGCACAGGUGCUGCAUGGCUGUCGUCAGUUCGUGUCGUGAGAUGUUUGGUUAAGUCCAACAACGAACGCAACCUCCAUCUCUAGUUGACAACGUAAAGUCGGUCACUCUAGCGAAACUGCCCCUGAUGAAGGGGAGGAAGGUGGGGAUGAGGUCAAGUCAUCAUGGCCUUUAUGCCCAGGGCUACACACGUGCUACAAUGCAGUGCACAAAGGGAUGCGAAUCCGUAAGGAAGAGCAAAUCUCAAAAAACACUGCUCAGUUCGGA
RNAcentral lists this ribosomal RNA (532 nucleotides) under uncultured bacterium. RNAcentral describes it as "bacterial SSU rRNA". It matches the Rfam family "Bacterial small subunit ribosomal RNA", at positions 774 to 1297 of the family's 1533-position model. The record is from RNAcentral.